This 465-nucleotide ribosomal RNA is filed under the name uncultured bacterium. Its description in RNAcentral is "partial 16S ribosomal RNA". It matches the Rfam family "Bacterial small subunit ribosomal RNA", at positions 338 to 795 of the family's 1533-position model. The record is from RNAcentral.
CCUACGGGAGGCAGCAGUAGGGAAUCUUCCACAAUGGGCGAAAGCCUGAUGCAGCAACGCCGCGUGGGUGAAGAAGGUCUUCGGCUCGUAAACCCCUGUUGUUAGAGAAGAAAGUGCGUGAGAGUAACUGUUCACGUUUCGACGGUAUCUAACCAGAAAGCCACGGCUAACUACGUGCCAGCAGCCGCGGUAAUACGUAGGUGGCAAGCGUUAUCCGGAUUUAUUGGGCGUAAAGGGAACGCAGGCGGUCUUUUAAGUCUGAUGUGAAAGCCUUGGGCUUAACCGGAGUAGUGCAUUGGAAACUAGGAGACUUGAGUGCAGAAGAGGAGAGUGGGACUCCAUGUGUAGCGGUGAAAUGCGUAGAUAUAUGGAAGAACACCAGUGGCGAAAGCGGCUCUCUGGUCUGUAACUGACGCUGAGGUUCGAAAGCGUGGGUAGCAAACAGGAUUAGAUACCCGUGUAGUC